GAGUUUGAUCAUGGCUCAGAGCGAACGCUGGCGGCAGGCCUAACACAUGCAAGUCGAACGGAUCCUUCGGGAUUAGUGGCGGACGGGUGAGUAACACGUGGGAACGUGCCUUUUGGUUCGGAACAACUCAGGGAAACUUGAGCUAAUACCGGAUGUGCCCUUCGGGGGAAAGAUUUAUCGCCAUUAGAGCGGCCCGCGUCUGAUUAGCUUGUUGGUGAGGUAACGGCUCACCAAGGCUACGAUCAGUAGCUGGUCUGAGAGGAUGAUCAGCCACACUGGGACUGAGACACGGCCCAGACUCCUACGGGAGGCAGCAGUGGGGAAUCUUGCGCAAUGGGCGAAAGCCUGACGCAGCCAUGCCGCGUGAAUGAUGAAGGUCUUAGGAUCGUAAAAUUCUUUCACCGGGGACGAUAAUGACGGUACCCGGAGAAGAAGCUCCGGCUAACUUCGUGCCAGCAGCCGCGGUAAUACGAAGGGGGCUAGCGUUGCUCGGAAUUACUGGGCGUAAAGGGCGCGUAGGCGGACGACUCAGUCAGAGGUGAAAGCCCAGGGCUCAACCCUGGAAUUGCCUUUGAUACUGGUCAUCUUGAGUACGGGAGAGGUGUGUGGAACUCCGAGUGUAGAGGUGAAAUUCGU
RNAcentral lists this ribosomal RNA (636 nucleotides) under uncultured Caulobacter sp. Its description in RNAcentral is "bacterial SSU rRNA". It matches the Rfam family "Bacterial small subunit ribosomal RNA", at positions 9 to 691 of the family's 1533-position model. Lineage: Bacteria; Pseudomonadati; Pseudomonadota; Alphaproteobacteria; Caulobacterales; Caulobacteraceae. The record is from RNAcentral.